This 1397-nucleotide long non-coding RNA is filed under the name Mus musculus (house mouse). RNAcentral's name for it is "alncRNA-EC76". Lineage: Eukaryota; Metazoa; Chordata; Mammalia; Rodentia; Muridae. The record is from RNAcentral.
GCACCACACCCAUACAUAGCAACUGUCGUUGUCGCAGGGCUUGAGAAAUCCUUCCAGAGGGGGAAAGAACAGAUUGUAAAUAUAGAUGUGCUAGUCAUCCGUCUACAAGCAGUCAUCAGCGAUGACUUGAAGGAAGCAAGACAGCCUGGAGGGCUGAGCACAGAGAUAUAAGAACAUGAACAUGCAGGACUUGGUCAAGAGGAGCUGCAAACAAAACUGAAAAGGGGCAAAGCCAUGGAGCACACAGCCCAUCUGUUCAAAGGGAACUGAGUCUGGACUCGGGAAAGUCUUCGCAGACCAAUACGAACUUCUUCUCUGUAAGGGCAGAGGCCCCCAAGCCACCAGGAGAGUGGUGGACAGGAUAAGAGGAAACACACACCUAAUGCAAAGAAAGCCCUUCUAGGAGUAGAAAGCCUGGCUCUCCAAGGAGCUGUCGUCUACUAAAGCAACAGGGUCUGCCACGCUCCAAACGCUCUUUCUGAGCAGGCCCCAGGCUUGGCGUCUCUGCACGGGAUUUCUCUCCUUGUCUCAAACUUGCAAACUUAGCACCAUCCCUUCUUUCAAGAUGAGAAAUGAAUUCAACGCGGACACGUGGCUUCCUGCCGCGGGCUUGCAGUGACAUAUAGAGAAUGCAGGGCUGAAUUCCAGAUUUAUCCAGAAGUGAACUAAGGCCUCUCCCAAGACAGGGUUUCUCUGUGUAGCCCUGACUGUCUUGGAACUCAUACCUAGAAAUGAAAGUUUUUCUGUGGAGUGGAGACAGCGUUGAUACUGGGUGAGGGAACUGCCAGUGUCAAGGAAAACAUCCAGGCUUCCUUAUGCCACAUGACAGAAGAAGGUGGCCUGUUACAUUAAAACACAGAGCCUUCAAUUACAGAAGAUUUCAAGAUCUGAGCAUAACCCUCUUAAAUAUCAAGUGACUGCUGCUCCGCCUUCACAACAGCGAUCCAGGAUCCAGACUCUCUAAAUUCUAUAACUGCAACAACGCUACUUGCCAACGGCAGCACUCCAAAUGGACUCUUUAUUUGACCUUAUCAUUAGUUUCAACUUUACACAGUGGCACAGAAAAAUAAGGGAAACCCUAAGAUGACAGCUGUCAAAGCUGACUGCAGAGCGGGAAGUCAUACUUUUAUGUCCCUAUAAUUAUCAUUUUAAACAGGUCAGGAAGAAUAAACUAAUUCAAAAUGGCAUAUUUUUACCUAACACCAAUAUCAGCAUAAAUCACAUUAACUAGAUUCUAAGGCUGCCAGAUUGCUGCCUUUCACUGGUCAUCUUUAAAUAUAGUGUCUAUUUAAAGCAAAGGUUCAUUUCUGUACAUUAAAAUAACAACAACAACAUUGUGUUUAGUUCUUCUAGAGAUUGAUAGCAUUUAGAACCACUGGAAUUUCCCUAAAUCUCCC